UACGAAGGGUGCAAGCGUUAAUCGGAAUUACUGGGCGUAAAGCGCACGUAGGUGGUUCGCUAAGUCAGCUGUGAAAUCCCCGGGCGUCAACCUGGGACGUUGCAGUUGUAAACUGGUGAGCUAGAGUAGGGUAGAGGGUGGUGGAAUUCCAGGUGUAGCGGUGAAAUAGCGUAGAUAUCUGGAGGAACAUCAGUGGCGAAGGCGAC
Molecule: ribosomal RNA, 206 nt
Filed under: uncultured bacterium
Lineage: Bacteria
Description: partial 16S ribosomal RNA
Rfam family: Bacterial small subunit ribosomal RNA
Source: RNAcentral